This 253-nucleotide ribosomal RNA is filed under the name uncultured bacterium. Its description in RNAcentral is "partial 16S ribosomal RNA". It matches the Rfam family "Bacterial small subunit ribosomal RNA", at positions 524 to 776 of the family's 1533-position model. The record is from RNAcentral.
UACGAAGGGUGCAAACGUUGCUCGGAAUUAUUGGGCGUAAAGCGCACGUAGGCGGCUUGGCAAGUCGGAUGUGAAAUCCCUCGGCUCAACCAAGGAAGUGCAUCCGAAACUGCUGAGCUUGAGUAUUUAAGAGGAUCGCGGAAUUCCCGGUGUAGAGGUGAAAUUCGUAGAUAUCGGGAGGAACACCAGUGGCGAAGGCGGCGAUCUGGGAAGAUACUGACGCUGAGGUGCGAAAGCGUGGGGAGCAAACAGG